Long non-coding RNA from Carassius auratus (goldfish), 287 nucleotides. RefSeq lists it as uncharacterized. NCBI's taxonomy places the organism in Eukaryota, Metazoa, Chordata, Actinopteri, Cypriniformes, Cyprinidae. The transcript has 3 exons. The record is from RefSeq and is a predicted model, not a curated record.
AUAACAUUCAUUUCCAAUGAUGUUCAAUGCUAACGACAAUUUGUUGUAUCGUGUACAUCGCGGGGUAUUUCUUCUUCUUACCCUUGUCCAGGAUGUCCUGCACGAGCUGUUCCUCAGUAGAGAGGACUUCCUCUCUCCCUGCCUCCGUUCUCCCUCCAUCGUUCUCACCAGCACUAACAGGCGUCUCUUCAGACCUGUGCGUUCCCGCCUCUGUCCAGUAUUUCUCUUCCACUUCGGCCAGAUCAUAUGUUCCAGCUCCACUGCAAGGAAAGUGAAGAGCAGGCCAC